GAUGAACGCUGGCGGCGUGCCUAAUACAUGCAAGUCGAGCGAACAGAUAAGGGGCUUGCUCCUUUGACGUUAGCGGCGGACGGGUGAGUAACACGUGGAUAACCUACCUAUAAGACUGGGAUAACUUCGGGAAACCGGAGCUAAUACCGGAUAACAUAUUGAACCGCAUGGUUCAAUAGUGAAAGGCGGCUUUGCUGUCACUUAUAGAUGGAUCCGCGCCGUAUUAGCUAGUUGGUAAGGUAACGGCUUACCAAGGCAACGAUACGUAGCCGACCUGAGAGGGUGAUCGGCCACACUGGAACUGAGACACGGUCCAGACUCCUACGGGAGGCAGCAGUAGGGAAUCUUCCGCAAAGGGCGAAAGCCUGACGGAGCAACGCCGCGUGAGUGAUGAAGGUCUUCGGAUCGUAAAACUCUGUUAUCAGGGAAGAACAAAUGUGUAAGUAACUGUGCACAUCUUGACGGUACCUGAUCAGAAAGCCACGGCUAACUACGUG
RNAcentral lists this ribosomal RNA (497 nucleotides) under uncultured bacterium. Its description in RNAcentral is "partial 16S ribosomal RNA". It matches the Rfam family "Bacterial small subunit ribosomal RNA", at positions 28 to 507 of the family's 1533-position model. The record is from RNAcentral.